CAAAACUCAAAUAAAAAUGGGCUCCCCUCCUCGAGCUAUAUAGUUCGCACCUAAAUUGGACCAACAUCGGGCCGAGAGAAAACUCAAACUCAGAUUUGGUGGGGUGCGCCAGGCCCGUGCAGUAGUGCAACGCAUGGGCGACGCUCGAGGAUCCCAAUAGCAAGCUAUUGUCGCGGACCCUCCCCCUUAAAAAAUUAAUUUAAUAUCAUGUGGACCGAUGGUCCACGUAUCAGAUAUUAAACUGAUAAGAACAGAUACUACACUUGAUCUUAGCCAAAAGGCCGAGAAAGGUAUGCUUAACUCCGCUGCUUUCCUUGGCUUUUAUGACUGCUCGACGCUUUGCUCGCAUGACGAUUUCCCGAUGUGGGACUAAUACUGGCUAGGUUCUAGGCUUAGACAGAACAGCAAAGAGCACGGAUUGACAGAACGUGGUGUCGCUGCACAGCAACUAAGGAAAGCUGAUAGGCUCAACAAGUUUUUCCUUCCGCGUCUUACUGAGUUUUGGCUUAGACUAUGUUCCGAGUUUUCUCAUCGACGUCCUUCAACAAAUCUGUUAAAUGACGAAAUUUCUUCUAGCACAAGCCCAUCAAGCACUGAGGGCAGACUGACGAAGCAGAAAAAGUAAACUAAUGACUUGGAAAUUGUUACUGAAACUUUGAUAUUGGAAUUUGGAAAUGCAAGUUAUUUGAUCGCCAA
Long non-coding RNA from Prosopis cineraria, 696 nucleotides. RefSeq lists it as uncharacterized. The record is from RefSeq and is a predicted model, not a curated record. The transcript is spliced from 2 exons. Lineage: Eukaryota; Viridiplantae; Streptophyta; Magnoliopsida; Fabales; Fabaceae.